RNAcentral lists this unclassified non-coding RNA (345 nucleotides) under soil metagenome. RNAcentral describes it as "partial contains 5.8S ribosomal RNA, internal transcribed spacer 2, and large subunit ribosomal RNA". The stretch from base 1 to 120 matches the Rfam family "5.8S ribosomal RNA", at positions 35 to 154 of the family's 154-position model. The record is from RNAcentral.
GAUGAAGAACGUAGCGAAAUGCGAUACGAAAUGUGAAUUGCAGAAUUCAGUGAAUCAUCGAGUCUUUGAACGCACAUUGCGCCCCCUGGUAUUCCGGGGGGCAUGCCUGUCCGAGCGUCAUUGCUGCCCUCAAGCACGGCUUGUGUGUUGGGCCUCCGUCCUCCUCCCGGGGGACGGGCCCGAAAGGCAGCGGCGGCACCGCGUCCGGUCCUCGAGCGUAUGGGGCUUCGUCACCCGCUCUUGUAGGCCCGGCCGGCGCUUGCCGACACAUCAAUCUUUUUUCCAGGUUGACCUCGGAUCAGGUAGGGAUACCCGCUGAACUUAAGCAUAUCAAUAAGCGGAGGA